This 398-nucleotide unclassified non-coding RNA is filed under the name Hevea brasiliensis (rubber tree). Lineage: Eukaryota; Viridiplantae; Streptophyta; Magnoliopsida; Malpighiales; Euphorbiaceae. The record is from RNAcentral.
ACAUGAACAUAGGCUUGCUAAUUUAUGUGGCUGUAUCCAAAAAGCCGCUGAAACCUUGGCAUGGAAUUACAGCAGCCUCCAUGUUGCAAGGCUGGAAGCCAUUGUUAUCUCUAUCUUUGCCUAGCGUCAUCUCUGUAUGCUUGGAGUGGUGGUGGUACGAGAUAAUGCUGUUUCUUUGUGGUUUGCUCAGCAAUCCAAAGGCUAGUGUUGCAGCUACAGGCAUCCUUAUACAGACAGCUGGUCUAAUCUACUCAUUUCCAUUUUCCCUAAGUUGCAGCUUAAGCACACGAGUAGGUCACGCACUGGGCGCUGGACAACCAGCUCGUGCCCAAUGGACAGCCAUAAUUGGGAUCAUCCUGGGAUUUGCAUGCGGACUCACGGCCGCUGUUUUCACUGCA